CGUAGGGUGCAAGCGUUGUCCGGAAUUAUUGGGCGUAAAGAGCGUGUAGGCGGCCCGAUUAGUCCGCUGUGAAAGUCCAGGGCUCAACCCUGGAAUGCCGGUGGAUACUGUCGGGCUAGAGUCCGGAAGGGGCGAGUGGAAUUCCUGGUGUAGCGGUGAAAUGCGCAGAUAUCAGGAGGAACACCAAUGGCGAAGGCAGCUCGCUGGGACGUGACUGACGCUGAGACGCGAAAGCGUGGGGAGCAAACAGGAUUAGAUACCCUGGUAGUCCACGCUGUAAACGAUGGCAACUAGAUGUGGGGGGUGUCGACUCCCCCCGUGUCGAAGCUAACGCAUUAAGUUGCCCGCCUGGGGAGUACGGCCGCAAGGCUA
Molecule: ribosomal RNA, 372 nt
Filed under: uncultured organism
Description: bacterial SSU rRNA
Rfam family: Bacterial small subunit ribosomal RNA
Source: RNAcentral